Molecule: ribosomal RNA, 501 nt
Filed under: Triticum aestivum (bread wheat)
Lineage: Eukaryota; Viridiplantae; Streptophyta; Magnoliopsida; Poales; Poaceae
Description: partial small subunit ribosomal RNA
Source: RNAcentral
AUGGAACAUUUCACCCUACCAGAUCAUUUCACAGAAGCAGAUGUGCAGAAAGUCAAGGACGCUGCUCUUAGGAAGAUGGCGGUUGCAUUCAAGAACCACAAGAAUCGUGAAUGGGACAAGUACGUCAAGGGAGGAAGGAAGACUCCAGUAUUCGCGGGAACACUAGAGAACCAACGUGCUCAUUGGGAUGAUUUCGUGAAAUUCAAGGAUUCAGAAUUAGCUAAGGAACGGUCAACAAUAAACAAGAAGAAUGCCGAAAAAAGGAUAAGUUCCAUAAGCUGGGGCCAGGUGGCUUGUGUGGCAAUGCCUAAGUGGGAUAAGUCUGAGAAAGAGAUGGAGGAUGCAGGUGCCACUCCGGUUACUAAGAGCUGCCCCCCCAGGGUCAGGACUUGGUUCUAUGCGCAUGGGGGGGAGUUGGACCCGAAGACAGGCAAUGUUUCGACGAGGGCAAGUCUGAAGGGAGCCGACGAUGCGAUACUUGUUGCAAUAGAAGAGGCAUGA